Molecule: transfer RNA, 92 nt
Filed under: Bacteroides cellulosilyticus
Lineage: Bacteria; Pseudomonadati; Bacteroidota; Bacteroidia; Bacteroidales; Bacteroidaceae
Description: tRNA-Lys
Source: RNAcentral
AUCUGUUUGGUUGACGGACAACUGGUACUUCUUGUGAAACAGGAUGUCCAGUCGUUUGAUUGCAUUGGCCAGUCCCAGUCCGGUGCCUGGUC